AUUAUGGAGAGUUUGAUCCUGGCUCAGAGUGAACGCUGGCGGCGUGCUUAACACAUGCAAGUCGAACGAGAACGGGCUAUAGCUUGCUAUAGUUGUCAGCUAAGUGGCGCACGGGUGAGUAAUGUAUAGGUAAUAUGCCUCUUACUAAGGGAUAACAAAUGGAAACGUUUGCUAAUACCUUAUACUCCUUUUAAACAGAAGUUUAAAAGGGAAAGAUUUAUUGGUAAGAGAUUAGCCUGUAUUGUAUCAGUUAGUUGGUGGGGUAAUGGCUUACCAAGACUAUGACACAUAACUGGUUUGAGAGGAUGAUCAGUCACACUGGAACUGAGACACGGUCCAGACUCCUACGGGAGGCAGCAGUGGGGAAUAUUGCACAAUGGACGGAAGUCUGAUGCAGCAACGCCGCGUGGAGGAUGACACAUUUCGGUGCGUAAACUCCUUUUAUAUAAGAAGAUAAUGACGGUAUUAUAUGAAUAAGCACCGGCUAACUCCGUGCCAGCAGCCGCGGUAAUACGGGGGGUGCAAGCGUUACUCGGAAUCACUGGGCGUAAAGAGCAUGUAGGCGGAUUAAUAAGUUUGAAGUGAAAUCCUAUAGCUUAACUAUAGAACUGCUUUGAAAACUGUUGAUCUAGAAUGUGGGAGAGGUAGAUGGAAUUUCUGGUGUAGGGGUAAAAUCCGUAGAGAUCAGAAGGAAUACCGAUUGCGAAGGCGAUUUACUGGAACACAAUUGACGCUG
RNAcentral lists this ribosomal RNA (736 nucleotides) under Aliarcobacter skirrowii. Its description in RNAcentral is "bacterial SSU rRNA". It matches the Rfam family "Bacterial small subunit ribosomal RNA", at positions 1 to 748 of the family's 1533-position model. Lineage: Bacteria; Pseudomonadati; Campylobacterota; Epsilonproteobacteria; Campylobacterales; Arcobacteraceae. The record is from RNAcentral.